CCUACGGGCGGCAGCAGUGAGGAAUAUUGGUCAAUGGCCGUAAGGCUGAACCAGCCAAGUCGCGUGAAGGAAGAAGGAUCUAUGGUUUGUAAACUUCUUUUAUAGGGGAAUAAAGGUAUCCACGUGUGGAUAUUUUCAUGUACCCUAUGAAUAAGCAUCGGCUAACUCCGUGCCAGCAGCCGCGGUAAUACGGAGGAUGCGAGCGUUAUCCGGAUUUAUUGGGUUUAAGGGGUGCGUAGGCGGAAGGUUAAGUCAGCGGUAAAAGGUCGGUGAUCAACCCCGGCCUGCCGUUGAAACGGGUCUUCUUGAGUGAGCGAGAAGUAUGCGGAAUGCGUGGUGUAGCGGUGAAAUGCAUAGAUAUCACGCAGAACUCCGAUUGCGAAGGCAGCAUACCGGCGCUCAACUGACGCUGAGGCACGAAAGCGUGGGGAUCGAACAGGAUUAGAUACCCGUGUAGUC
Molecule: ribosomal RNA, 459 nt
Filed under: uncultured bacterium
Lineage: Bacteria
Description: partial 16S ribosomal RNA
Rfam family: Bacterial small subunit ribosomal RNA
Source: RNAcentral